This 492-nucleotide ribosomal RNA is filed under the name uncultured bacterium. RNAcentral's name for it is "partial 16S ribosomal RNA". It matches the Rfam family "Bacterial small subunit ribosomal RNA", at positions 29 to 507 of the family's 1533-position model. The record is from RNAcentral.
AGUGAACGCUGGCGGUAGGCCUAACACAUGCAAGUCGAACGGCAGCACAGUAAGAGCUUGCUCUUACGGGUGGCGAGUGGCGGACGGGUGAGGAAUAUAUCGUAAUCUACUUUUUCGUGGGGGAUCACGUAGCGAAACUUACGCUAAUACCGCAUACGAUCUACGGGUGAAAGCAGUGGAUCUUCGGACCUUGCGCGAUUGAAUGAGCCGAUGUCGGAGUAGCUGGUUGGCGGGGUAAAGGCCCACCAAGGCGACGAUCCGUAGCUGGUCUGAGAGGAUGGUCAGCCACACUGGAACUGAGACACGGUCCAGACUCCUACGGGAGGCAGCAGUGGGGAAUGUUGGACAAUGGGCGCAAGCCUGAUCCAGCCAUACCGCGUGGGUGAAGAAGGCCUUCGGGUUGUGAAGCCCUUUUGUUGGGAAAGAAAAGCAGCAGGUUAAUACCACGCUGUUCUGACGGUACCCAAAGAAUAAGCACCGGCUAACUUCGUG